CGUGUAGGCGGCAGCGCAAGUCGGGCGUGAAAUCCCACGGCUCAACCGUGGAAGUGCACUCGAAACUGCGCAGCUAGAGUCCUGGAGAGGAAGGUGGAAUGCUUGGUGUAGAGGUGAAAUUCGUAGAUAUCAAGCGGAACACCGGUGGCGAAGGCGGCCUUCUGGACAGUGACUGACGCUGAGACGCGAAAGCGUGGGGAGCAAACAGGAUUAGAUACCCUGGUAGUCCACGCCGUAAACGAUGAGUGCUAGGUGUCACGGGCUUUGACCCUCGUGGUGCCGAAGCUAACGCGUUAAGCACUCCGCCUGGGGAGUACGGCCGCAAGGCUAAA
This 332-nucleotide ribosomal RNA is filed under the name uncultured Phaselicystis sp. RNAcentral's name for it is "bacterial SSU rRNA". It matches the Rfam family "Bacterial small subunit ribosomal RNA", at positions 568 to 898 of the family's 1533-position model. Lineage: Bacteria; Pseudomonadati; Myxococcota; Polyangiales; Phaselicystidaceae. The record is from RNAcentral.